RNAcentral lists this ribosomal RNA (486 nucleotides) under uncultured bacterium. RNAcentral describes it as "partial 16S ribosomal RNA". It matches the Rfam family "Bacterial small subunit ribosomal RNA", at positions 30 to 507 of the family's 1533-position model. The record is from RNAcentral.
AUUGAACGCUGGCGGCAUGCCUUACACAUGCAAGUCGAACGGCAGCACGGGUGCUUGCACCUGGUGGCGAGUGGCGAACGGGUGAGUAAUACAUCGGAACAUGUCCUGUAGUGGGGGAUAGCCCGGCGAAAGCCGGAUUAAUACCGCAUGCGAUCUACGGAUGAAAGCGGGGGACCUUCGGUCCUCGCGCUAUAGGGUUGGCCGAUGGCUGAUUAGCUAGUUGGUGGGGUAAACGCCUACCCAGGCGACGAUCAGUAGCUGGUCUGAGAGGACGACCAGCCACACUGGGACUGAGGCAGAGCCCAGACUCCUACGGGAGGCAGCAGUGGGGAAUUUUAGACAAUGGGCGAAAGCCUGAUCCAGCAAUGCCGCGUGUGUGAAGAAGGCCUUCGGGUUGUAAAGCACAUUUGUCCGGAAAGAAAUCCUUGGCCCUAAUACGGUCGGGGAAUGACGGUACCGGAAGAAUAAGCACCGGCUAACUACGUG